Molecule: ribosomal RNA, 635 nt
Filed under: uncultured Synechococcus sp.
Lineage: Bacteria; Bacillati; Cyanobacteriota; Cyanophyceae; Synechococcales; Synechococcaceae
Description: bacterial SSU rRNA
Rfam family: Bacterial small subunit ribosomal RNA
Source: RNAcentral
CCAGGGGAGCGAAAGGGAUUAGAUACCCCUGUAGUCCCUGGCCGUAAACGAUGAAACACUAGGUGUCGGGGGAAUCGACCCCCCUCGGUGUCGUAGCCAACGCGUUAAGUGUUCCGCCUGGGGAGUACGCACGCAAAGUGUGAAACUCAAAGGAAUUGACGGGGGCCCGCACAAAGCGGUGGAGUAUGUGGUUUAAUUCGAUGCAACGCGAAGAACCUUACCAGGGUUUGACAUCCUGCGAAUCUCUUGGAAACGAGAGAGUGCCUUCGGGAGCGCAGUGACAGGUGGUGCAUGGCUGUCGUCAGCUCGUGUCGUGAGAUGUUGGGUUAAGUCCCGCAACGAGCGCAACCCACGUCGUUAGUUGCCAGCAUUCAGUUGGGCACUCUAGCGAGACCGCCGGUGAUAAACCGGAGGAAGGUGUGGAUGACGUCAAGUCAUCAUGCCCCUUACAUCCUGGGCUACGCACGUACUACAAUGCUACGGACAAAGGGCAGCAAACUCGCGAGAGCUAGCAAAUCCCAUAAACCGUGGCUCAGUUCAGAUCGUAGGCUGCAACUCGCCUACGUGAAGGAGGAAUCGCUAGUAAUCGCAGGUCAGCAUACUGCGGUGAAUACGUUCCCGGGCCUUGUACACAC